AUACAGAGGUGGCAAGCGUUGUUCGGAAUUACUGGGCGUAAAGGGCGCGUAGGCGGCCAUCUAAGUCAGACGUGAAAUCCCCCGGCUUAACCUGGGAACUGCGUCUGAUACUGGACGGCUUGAGUAUGGGAGAGGGAUGUAGAAUUCCAGGUGUAGCGGUGAAAUGCGUAGAUAUCUGGAGGAAUACCGGUGGCGAAGGCGGCAUCCUGGACCAUUACUGACGCUGAUGCGCGAAAGCUAGGGGAGCAAACGG
This 253-nucleotide ribosomal RNA is filed under the name uncultured prokaryote. RNAcentral describes it as "partial 16S ribosomal RNA". It matches the Rfam family "Bacterial small subunit ribosomal RNA", at positions 523 to 775 of the family's 1533-position model. The record is from RNAcentral.